Molecule: ribosomal RNA, 62 nt
Filed under: uncultured Tuberaceae
Lineage: Eukaryota; Fungi; Ascomycota; Pezizomycetes; Pezizales; Tuberaceae
Description: partial 28S ribosomal RNA
Source: RNAcentral
UUGACCUCGGAUCAGGUAGGGAUACCCGCUGAACUUAAGCAUAUCAAAAACCGCGGGGGGAA